UUGGCUUUCCCCGUGUUAGCUGCAAACUUCUGCCAGGUAGAAGAGGCAGUGGCGGUGUCCGAGUGUGGCGGCAAGCCCCACAGCUCCGACUUCUCCACAAAGUCCGCAUCGACGUCCAGCUCCUUCUCGGCUGGGCCCUUCAGGAGCCUGGCCUUUUCAGCCUUUAGCUGUUUAUUUUCUUUCCUUAGUCUUUCGUUCUCCGCCACAAGGAACUCCACGUGCCUCUUCAACUCUGCAAUCUUGGUUGCCUGCUCCUCUAUAAUCGUCUUAUCAUCUUUUGGGGCCUUGCUUCCAAUACAGGGCUCUGACGGCUCAUUCUUUUGCUGAAGUAAAAAUAGCAACGUGUCUGGAUCCCUGUCAAAGACCCCCUGCACCUCAGGGAGGUGCUUCUCUGUGGAAGGGAUGUAUGUCUGAGAAAGAAGAGGGCUCUGGCCUUCCGAGUCCUCAGAGGGUCUGUGAGAUGCCUGCAGGUGGGGGACUCCAUCCCGGUCUGUCCUCUGCUGCGCUUUCAACCGCUCCUCUCGCUUCGCUCUCUUCCACCUCUCCUGGAUGAGGAGAAGCUGCUUCAUGUGGCU
Molecule: long non-coding RNA, 575 nt
Filed under: Rattus norvegicus (Norway rat)
Lineage: Eukaryota; Metazoa; Chordata; Mammalia; Rodentia; Muridae
Description: long non-coding RNA NONRATT015535
Source: RNAcentral